This 510-nucleotide ribosomal RNA is filed under the name uncultured bacterium. RNAcentral's name for it is "partial 16S ribosomal RNA". It matches the Rfam family "Bacterial small subunit ribosomal RNA", at positions 28 to 507 of the family's 1533-position model. The record is from RNAcentral.
GACGAACGCUGGCGGCGUGCUUAACACAUGCCAGUCGAACGAAGAGCGAUGGAAGCUUGCUUCUAUCAAUCUUAGUGGCGAACGGGUGAGUAACACGUAAUCAACCUGCCCUUCAGAGGGGGACAACAGUUGGAAACGACUGCUAAUACCGCAUACGAUCUAAUCUCGGCAUCGAGGAUAGAUGAAAGGUGGCCUCUACAUGUAAGCUAUCACUGAAGGAGGGGAUUGCGUCUGAUUAGCUAGUUGGAGGGGUAACGGCCCACCAAGGCGAUGAUCAGUAGCCGGUCUGAGAGGAUGAACGGCCACAUUGGGACUGAGACACGGCCCAGACUCCUACGGGAGGCAGCAGUGGGGAAUCUUCCGCAAUGGACGAAAGUCUGACGGAGCAACGCCGCGUGAGUGAUGACGGCCUUCGGGUUGUAAAGCUCUGUUAAUCGGGACGAAAGGCCUUCUUGCGAAUAGUGAGAAGGAUUGACGGUACCGGAAUAGAAAGCCACGGCUAACUACGUG